CCCCUGCCCCCGGGCGUGGUCCGGCGGGCUCCGCCGUGGUCCCGGCGCGACGCCGAGCCGCGAUGCCGCGGCUGCAGAGGUGCCCCUUCCCUCGGGACGAGGCCCCCGCAUGGCGGGGUGAGCGCGUGUCCGCAUCGCGCCUCGCCGAGAGGUGAGGAUCCUCACAGGGCGGCUUGUAGUGUGAAAUGUGUUGGAGUAAGGAUUUGGUUGGACACUUCGAUGGGCAAACUCCCCGAAGGAGUAGCCAUGAGAGAACUGAGACAAAUAAAAAUGGGCCAGCAGACAUGAUACAGUGAAGUGCUUUACAUUAUAUUGAAUACAUCCAUCCUGUUGCAGAGGAAUUUUUUAGCACGAACUUGUAGGCUGGUCAGUCAGCGACAUCAUAAGUCAUGGAAUCACAGAACAGUUGGAGUUAGAAGGAACCUCUGAGAUAUCUGGCCCAACAUCUGUGCCUAAUCAUAGCCACCUAAACCACGUUACCCAGGACUGUAUCUGGAUGGAUUUUGAAUAUCUCCAAGGAUGGAGGCUCCUCUCUCAUCUGACCACCGAUAGUACAUGAUAAAUCAGAAUGAAUCUGUGUGAGGCAAAGGUCAGAUUUGAUACUAGGAAAAAGUUCUCUGAGAGGGUGAUUAGUCACUGAACAGGCUCCCCACUGAACUGGUCACAGCACCAACCCUGUCAGAGUUCAACAAGCAUCUCAAGGACACUCUUUGUUACAUGGUUUAGUUUUAGAUAUUCCUGUGAGGAGCACUCUUGGACUCGAUGAUCUUUAUGGAUGCUUCAAACCUCCCUGGGCAGCCUGUGCCAGUGCUCAGUUACCUUCAGAGUGAAAAGGAGUUUUCUGGUGUUUGGAAGGGACCGUCUGUGUUUCAAUUUGUGCCCAUUGCCUCUGAUUCUUUCAGUGGGCACUUCUGAGAAGAGCCCAGCUCCAUCCUCUCUGUGCCCUCCCUUCAGCAGAGGUGCUUCAGCCUCUUAAUCUUUGCAGCACGUUGUUGGACUCUCUCCAGUGUAUCUGGAUCAUGCUUUCCAAUACUUCAGAUUGCUGUCACCGGCAGAGUGUCUUGCUAUAUGUUCCUGGAUUGCUGCAAUUAUACCAGAGCACGGUGCCAGCAAGGGCAAAGGUGGUUUAACCUACUGUACAAAUCCUAUCUGGAGUUUGAUUAGACCCCUAACUAAUUACUUUCAGCAUGAGUAAAGAGAGAGGAAUAACAUUUUUCUUCAUAGACAGUCUUUGUUCUGUAAUUAAUCUUUCAGAUUAGAAUAGGGAAAUCUUUUAUUCUCAACUCAUCAAGAACCUAAAUUGGAAUGUCUAGAAAUCCCGUCAAGUAAGAGGCAGAAAUUCUGCAUAAGAAAUUAUUCCUUACUGCCAGUGGAAAUGAAUUAAUUUUCUUCACACAGAAUAAUUCAACUUGUGUUUGUGGGAAACUCAAGAAUAUUAAAUAAAUCAAGCCAUUUAAAAUGGAUAUUAACAAAGCCAUUUUAAUUCCUCAUGGAGACAGUCUCAAGGUGCAGCCAUAUUCUAAACUAGCUUUGUAAAUGACCCAUUUUUAAAAAGAAACCUUUCCCAAAAUGAUGGCAUUAGAGCUGUUUUUAAUGGGAUCCAUUUCACAGCGUGCUUUAGCAUGCAGUCAUGUAGCCAGAUUGAUUUUACUGAAGGACGUGUCCUAUAAAGCAGAGGACUAGAGCCCAGAGCUGGCAGCACCAGGGAUAGGCAUCUCCUGAUCCAGCUGUGCUGCUGCUGGUCACACUCUGGCUAUGGGAUCACCACGGCUUAGGAGAGGCUCAUCACCUGCUGGACCACAGAAGCUGCCCUGGGCUCACAUUCUUGGUGGAGGCAGCUUAAUUCAGCAGCUCAGCUGGCAAAUGAGCCCUCGAUAAUCUGCAGAAACCCAGGUGCCCAUUGACCAUAAUAUUUUCCCAAAAUUACAAUCAUUUCUGGCAUAUGACUCGAAAAUCAUUGAGGCAGAGGGGAAGAAGCUUCUCAAGAAAGCAGUAGAAGAAUCACUACAGCUGCAAGUGAAAAGAUCAGCACAUUUUAUCAUGUAGUAUUUAUUAAUUAUUUUUCUUUUAUAGCUUAAUGGGUGGACAAUACCCUUUUAAGGCAUGGGAUGUAAUCUCACUUUUACAACUUCAUUAUGAGUUUUCUGCAGUGUAACACUCUUCUUUUAAUGCCCUAAAAAGUAAUCUCCAAAAAAUCCAUGGUAAUUGCCUAUCUUUUAGUAAUUUCCAAUAGCUCAGGACAGUAAUAACAAUAGUAAUAAAAUUAAUAAUCCUUUGGAAGUGCAUAGCUCUUCAUUUCAAUCAUACUACUUCUUGUAAGCAUUAAUUAUCACUCACAGUAAUCUUGAGUUAUGUAAGUAAAUACUGCCUUUCCUUAAUAGAUUAAUAAAAUGAAGAAGUGGAUCAAAAUGA
Molecule: non-coding RNA, 2412 nt
Organism: Taeniopygia guttata (zebra finch)
Lineage: Eukaryota; Metazoa; Chordata; Aves; Passeriformes; Estrildidae
Source: RefSeq, a predicted model, not a curated record